This 253-nucleotide ribosomal RNA is filed under the name uncultured bacterium. RNAcentral's name for it is "partial 16S ribosomal RNA". It matches the Rfam family "Bacterial small subunit ribosomal RNA", at positions 524 to 776 of the family's 1533-position model. The record is from RNAcentral.
UACGUAGGGUGCAAGCGUUGUCCGGAAUUAUUGGGCGUAAAGAGCUCGUAGGCGGUCUGUCGCGUCUGCUGUGAAAACUCGGGGCUUAACCCCGGGCCUGCAGUGGGUACGGGCAGACUAGAGUGCGGUAGGGGAGACUGGAAUUCCUGGUGAGGCGGUGAAAUGCGCAGAGUAUCAGGAGGAACACCGGUGGCGAAGGCGGGUCUCUGGGCCGAUAUUGACGUGGAGGAGCGAAAGCGUGGGAGCAAACAGG